UUACGGUCAAAUCACGCUUGAAAACACCGGUUCUCAUUCGAUCACCGGUUAAGCAUCGUAGAGCCAGGUCAGUACUUAGAUGGGGGACCGCUUGGGAACACCUGGUACUGUAAG
This 114-nucleotide ribosomal RNA is filed under the name Acanthosepion pharaonis. Lineage: Eukaryota; Metazoa; Mollusca; Cephalopoda; Sepiida; Sepiidae. The record is from RNAcentral.